This 253-nucleotide ribosomal RNA is filed under the name uncultured bacterium. RNAcentral's name for it is "partial 16S ribosomal RNA". It matches the Rfam family "Bacterial small subunit ribosomal RNA", at positions 524 to 776 of the family's 1533-position model. The record is from RNAcentral.
UACGUAGGGGGCUAGCGUUGCUCGGAUUGACUGGGCGUAAAGGGCGCGUAGGCGGUUCGUACAGUCAGACGUGAAAUUCCUGGGCUCAACCUGGGGGCUGCGUUUGAUACGUGCGGACUUGAGUGCGGAAGAGGGUCGUGGAAUUCCCAGUGUAGAGGUGAAAUUCGUAGAUAUUGGGAAGAACACCGGUGGCGAAGGCGGCGACCUGGUCCGAUACUGACGCUGAGGCGCGAAAGCGUGGGGAGCAAACAGG